ACCUUUUUAGCGCAGCCGGCAGCGCGUCAGUCUCAUAAUCUGAAGGUCCUGAGUUCAAUCCUCAAAGAAGGCA
Alligator mississippiensis (American alligator) is the source of this 73-nucleotide transfer RNA. It matches the Rfam family "tRNA". Rfam says of the family: Transfer RNA (tRNA) molecules are approximately 80 nucleotides in length. Their secondary structure includes four short double-helical elements and three loops (D, anti-codon, and T loops). Lineage: Eukaryota; Metazoa; Chordata; Crocodylia; Alligatoridae. The record is from Rfam.